UAAAUUUCAAAAGUUAAACCCUAACAGAUGGAGAUUCGGAUCUAAAUUCAGCACCUGGAUUGAGAUAGAUGACUACCGUGUGCGGCACUAGGCGGCAGGGUUGGCGGCAUUGGUGCCGUCGGAGGAGGCUUUGUGUCCCAUCAUCUUCUUGAACUCCUCGAAAUUCACAUUCCCGUCGCCGUCGGCAUCGACGGUCUUGAUCAUCCGAUGGCAGUCCUCGAUCGUGCAGGCCAUGUUGAGGCGGUUGAGCACCAGGUGGAGCUCGUUGGCGGAGAUGAGGCCGUUCCGAUCCUGGUCGUAGAGAUCGAAG
This 310-nucleotide long non-coding RNA is filed under the name Malus domestica (apple). RNAcentral's name for it is "long non-coding RNA (MDOM_LNC006359)". The record is from RNAcentral. Lineage: Eukaryota; Viridiplantae; Streptophyta; Magnoliopsida; Rosales; Rosaceae.